This 487-nucleotide ribosomal RNA is filed under the name uncultured bacterium. Its description in RNAcentral is "bacterial SSU rRNA". It matches the Rfam family "Bacterial small subunit ribosomal RNA", at positions 28 to 521 of the family's 1533-position model. The record is from RNAcentral.
GACGAACGCUGGCGGCGUGCCUAACACAUGCAAGUCGAACGGAGAUGAUGGGAUAGCUUGCUAUUUAAUCAUCUUAGUGGCGGACGGGUGAGUAACACGUGGGCAACCUGCCCCAAAGAGGGGGAUAACACCGAGAAAUCGGUGCUAAUACCGCGUAACAUUAGAGCUUCGCAUGGAGCUUUAAUCAAAGGAGCAAUCCGCUUUGGGAUGGGCCCGCGUCUGAUUAGCUAGUUGGUGAGGUAACGGCUCACCAAGGCGACGAUCAGUAGCCGAUCUGAGAGGAUGACCGGCCACACUGGAACUGAGACACGGUCCAGACUCCUACGGGAGGCAGCAGUGGGGAAUAUUGCACAAUGGGGGAAACCCUGAUGCAGCAACGCCGCGUGGAGGAAGAAGGUCUUCGGAUUGUAAACUCCUGUCUUCUGGGACGAAUAAUGACGGUACCAGAGGAGGAAGCCACGGCUAACUACGUGCCAGCAGCCGCGGU